Molecule: non-coding RNA, 820 nt
Organism: Nothobranchius furzeri (turquoise killifish)
Lineage: Eukaryota; Metazoa; Chordata; Actinopteri; Cyprinodontiformes; Nothobranchiidae
Source: RefSeq, a predicted model, not a curated record
UUGUAGUUUAGUUAGUGUUUGGCUGUUAGUGUAAUUGGGAAAGUAUUUCGGGUUUAGUGUUCAUAUCGUCUUAGUAUUGGUGAGUAGGUGUAGUGUAGUAUGGUUGCGGUGACUCUGUGGGCAUUUUACCCGCGAUUCUGCACGCCUCCGUUUGAAGAGGGAGGCUGCCCACCGUGGCUCUUCCGCGAUUUAGAUGCAGCCCACCGACUCUGCUCCCCCACCACGGCGGGCUCCAGUCUGAGGCUAAAUCUACCCAAGACACUGGCUGUCAGACUGAUUUAGCUGCAAGAAUGCACUUGUCCAGGCUGAUGUGAAACCUUCCCUGUAGCAAAGCCAGCCAGAAUGGAGUUCACAGCCGCAGUGUGUCUGGUGACCCACAGGGUCCAUGAUGAAAAUUCAUCUUCCAGAAGGUCCCAGAGCGUCCAGACCCCCUGAAAAGACCAAGGUGUGAGGUGUCUGCUGUUGAUUCCAGCUUCCACCUCAGUGACAGUGCAAGCUCAGUGAACUGUUCAAGCCUGGCUGAUCACCUGAUAACUCCUGUCAUCUGGUUGUGACAGCAUGAGGAUGUCCUCACACACCUGUAACCUAUCAGCUCAUCCUGCUGAAUAGAGAGAGAAGAGACAACACCACAUCUCCUGUUCCUGGAAAGCCUUCAGCCAUCCUUCGAUGACUGAGAACCUCCAUCAGCUCUGUCUCCUGUCUGCCUACAAUUAUUAUAAUAAAUAUUGUGUGUGACAAGUUUUUUGUGCUGCCAAAUAUCUCAUUUAGAUUCCAGUUUUGAUAUUUUAAUGGAUAUUUAUAAAUUACAUUGAUUAUCACA